UACGAAGGGGGCUAGCGUUGCUCGGAAUUACUGGGCGUAAAGGGCGCGUAGGCGGAUAGUUUAGUCAGAGGUGAAAGCCCAGGGCUCAACCUUGGAAUUGCCUUUGAUACUGGCUAUCUUGAGUUCGGGAGAGGUGAGUGGAAUGCCGAGUGUAGAGGUGAAAUUCGUAGAUAUUCGGCGGAACACCAGUGGCGAAGGCGACUCACUGGCCCGAUACUGACGCUGAGGCGCGAAAGCGUGGGGAGCGAACAGG
This 253-nucleotide ribosomal RNA is filed under the name uncultured bacterium. RNAcentral describes it as "partial 16S ribosomal RNA". It matches the Rfam family "Bacterial small subunit ribosomal RNA", at positions 524 to 776 of the family's 1533-position model. The record is from RNAcentral.